This 468-nucleotide ribosomal RNA is filed under the name uncultured bacterium. RNAcentral describes it as "partial 16S ribosomal RNA". It matches the Rfam family "Bacterial small subunit ribosomal RNA", at positions 28 to 507 of the family's 1533-position model. The record is from RNAcentral.
GACGAACGCUGGCGGCGUGCUUAACACAUGCAAGUCGAACGGAAAGGCCCUGCUUUUGUGGGGUGCUCGAGUGGCGAACGGGUGAGUAACACGUGAGUAACCUGCCCUUGACUUUGGGAUAACUUCAGGAAACUGGGGCUAAUACCGGAUAGGAGCUCCUGCUGCAUGGUGGGGGUUGGAAAGUUUCGGCGGUUGGGGAUGGACUCGCGGCUUAUCAGCUUGUUGGUGGGGUAGUGGCUUACCAAGGCUUUGACGGGUAGCCGGCCUGAGAGGGUGACCGGCCACCUUGGGACUGAGAUGCGGCCCAGACUCCUACGGGAGGGAGCAGUGGGGAAUAUUGCACGAUGGGCGGAAGCCUGAUGCAGCAACGCCGCGUGCGGGAUGACGGCCUUCGGGGUGUAAACCGAUUUCGCCUGUGACGAAGCGUGAGUGACGGUAAUGGGUAAAGAAGCACCGGCUAACUACGUG